ACUCCUACGGGAGGCAGCAGUGGGGAAUCUUGCGCAAUGGGCGAAAGCCUGACGCAGCCAUGCCGCGUGAAUGAUGAAGGUCUUAGGAUUGUAAAAAUUCUUUCACCGGGGACGAUAAUGACGGUACCCGGAGAAGAAGCCCCGGCUAACUUCGUGCCAGCAGCCGCGGUAAUACGAAGGGGGCUAGCGUUGCUCGGAAUUACUGGGGCGUAAAGGGAGCGUAGGCGGACAUUUAAGUCAGGGGUGAAAUCCCGGGGCUCAACCUCGGAAUUGCCUUUGAUACUGGGGUGUCUUGAGUAUGAGAGAGGUGUGUGGAACUCCGAGUGUAGAGGUGAAAUUCGUAGAUAUUCGGAAGAACACCAGUGGCGAAGGCGACACACUGGCUCAUUACUGACGCUGAGGCUCGAAAGCGUGGGGAGCAAACAGGAUUAGAUACCCUGGUAGGAUAGCG
Molecule: ribosomal RNA, 451 nt
Filed under: uncultured bacterium
Lineage: Bacteria
Description: bacterial SSU rRNA
Rfam family: Bacterial small subunit ribosomal RNA
Source: RNAcentral